GAGGAAGCAGGUUGGCGUCGAUAACGGGGAAGACGCAGACCACCAUUGUCGUUGCCUUGGGAAGAAGAGAAAGCGGUUAAUAGUUGCAGCCAUUUUGAGGAAGAGGUGGAUAUUCCAUCACCAUCGGAGAGAGAAAUGGGUUAUGUUCAUCAUUGGAAAAAAGGAAGUUGGCACCAGAUUAGGAAGAAAAAUAGGUUGAAGAAAUGGAACCAGGUUGUCG
Molecule: unclassified non-coding RNA, 220 nt
Filed under: Hevea brasiliensis (rubber tree)
Lineage: Eukaryota; Viridiplantae; Streptophyta; Magnoliopsida; Malpighiales; Euphorbiaceae
Source: RNAcentral